AUGAAAAUAUAUAUAUUUAACAUAGUAUAAAUGGGAAACAAUAAUAUUAUUUUCUUGGAAAUAAUUUAGUUAAAAAUGAAAUACCAUUUUAUUUAUAUAUAAAUUCUUAUAGAAAUUUUAUAACAAAUUUUUAAACAAUAUUUAUGAGAUAGUUUGACUGGGGCGGUCUCCUCCCAAAGCGUAACGGAGGAGCACGAAGGUUAGCUAAUCCUGGUCGGACAUCAGGAGGUUAGUGCAAUGGCAUAAGCUAGCUUGACUGCGAGCGUGACGGCGCGAGCAGGUGCGAAAGCAGGUCAUAGUGAUCCGGUGGUUCUGAAUGGAAGGGCCAUCGCUCAACGGAUAAAAGGUACUCCGGGGAUAACAGGCUGAUACCGCCCAAGAGUUCAUAUCGACGGCGGUGUUUGGCACCUCGAUGUCGGCUCAUCACAUCCUGGGGCUGAAGUAGGUCCCAAGGGUAUGGCUGUUCGCCAUUUAAAGUGGUACGCGAGCUGGGUUUAGAACGUCGUGAGACAGUUCGGUCCCUAUCUGCCGUGGGCGCUG
This 540-nucleotide ribosomal RNA is filed under the name Streptococcus infantis. RNAcentral describes it as "partial 23S ribosomal RNA". It matches the Rfam family "Bacterial large subunit ribosomal RNA", at positions 2117 to 2656 of the family's 2925-position model. Lineage: Bacteria; Bacillati; Bacillota; Bacilli; Lactobacillales; Streptococcaceae. The record is from RNAcentral.